This 776-nucleotide ribosomal RNA is filed under the name bacterium enrichment culture clone SC-1_2. RNAcentral describes it as "partial 16S ribosomal RNA". It matches the Rfam family "Bacterial small subunit ribosomal RNA", at positions 1 to 827 of the family's 1533-position model. The record is from RNAcentral.
UAGAGUUUGAUCCUGGCUCACACCGAACGCUGGCGGCAGGCUUAACACAUGCAAGUCGAGCGGGCAUAGCAAUAUGUCAGCGGCAGACGGGUGAGUAACGCGUGGGAACGUACCUUUUGGUUCGGAACNNNNNNNNGAAACUUCAGCUAAUACCGGAUAAGCCCUUACGGGGAAAGAUUUAUCGCCGAAAGAUCGGCCCGCGUCUGAUUAGCUAGUUGGUGAGGUAAUGGCUCACCAAGGCGACGAUCAGUAGCUGGUCUGAGAGGAUGAUCAGCCACAUUGGGACUGAGACACGNNCCAAACUCCUACGGGAGGCAGCAGUGGGGAAUAUUGGACAAUGGGCGCAAGCCUGANNCAGCCAUNNCGCGUGAGUGAUGAAGGCCCUAGGGUUGUAAAGCUCUUUUGUGCGGGAAGAUAAUGACGGUACCGCAAGAAUAAGCCCCGGCUAACUUCGUGCCAGCAGCCGCGGUAAUACGAAGGGGGCUAGCGUUGCUCGGAAUCACUGGGCGUAAAGGGUGCGUAGGCGGGUCUUUAAGUCAGGGGUGAAAUCCUGGAGCUCAACUCCAGAACUGCCUUUGAUACUGAANAUCUUGAGUUCGGGAGAGGUGAGUGGAACUGCGAGUGUAGAGGUNNAAUUCGUAGAUAUUCGCAAGAACACCAGUGGCGAACGCGGCUCACUGGCCCGAUACUGACGCUGAGGCACGAAAGCGUGGGGAGCAAACAGGAUUAGAUACCCUGGUAGUCCACGCCGUACACGAUGAAUGCCAGCCGUUAGU